GAAGGGAGCAAGCGUUAUUCGGAAUAACUGGGCGUAAAGAGCGUGUAGGUGGCUUAGUAAGUCAGUUGUUAAAGCCCAAGGCUUAACCUUGGAACAGCAAUUGAUACUGCAAAGCUAGAGGACAGAAGAGAGAAGUGGAAUUCUCGGAGUAGCGGUAAAAUGCGUAGAUCUCGAGAGGAACACCAAUAGCGAAGGCAGCUUCUUGGUCUGUUUCUGACACUAAAGCGCGAAAGCAUGGGGGGGAGCAAACAGGAUUAGAUACCCUGGUAGUCCAUGCCCGUAAACGAUGAUCACUAGAUGUGCGAUGCUUUUCGGGCGUUGCGUGUCGAAGCUAACGCGUUAAGUGAUCCGCCUGGGGAGUACGAUCGCAAGAUUA
Molecule: ribosomal RNA, 376 nt
Filed under: uncultured organism
Description: partial 16S ribosomal RNA
Rfam family: Bacterial small subunit ribosomal RNA
Source: RNAcentral